Molecule: non-coding RNA, 1682 nt
Organism: Sus scrofa (pig)
Lineage: Eukaryota; Metazoa; Chordata; Mammalia; Artiodactyla; Suidae
Source: RefSeq, a predicted model, not a curated record
UCCUUGGCUUUGGUCUCUUGGACAGACACCACGCCACCUCUCACUCCCUUACCAGAACGAACCUAGCGUCCGCCGUCCGUCCAGCGGAAAACUCCAAAGUGGGCAACAGGCUAUAAAAGCCGAAUACUCACCAUCCCCACCCCGCCCCCAGCGCCCGCCCGGCCCGCGCCGCUCCCCAGCACGGGGCGCCCACUCCCACCCGGCCCGCCGCCCGGUCACCGCAGUGCAUUGCAACACGCGCAGACGCCGCCGGCUGGAGAGGACCCCACCGCGGACUUCCCGGUCGAUAAUAGCCCCCUAGACUGCUCCCCACAACAUCUUUGCAGAGGAGGUGGAUGAGAAGGCAACUAGUACUGUCACUUCGGAGACACAGAAACAUAGGUCAAAUAACAUGACUUAUCCAAGUUCACCUUGGGUAAGAAAACACCUUUUUCACAAAUGGCCAGAGCAACUUGCCAUCUUGUAUCCAUGUUCCUUUAUCUGAAGUUUGUGUGGAUCCAGAAUGUUUAUUUCCUUUUUUGACCCCACAGCAGAUAGUUACAAAGACAGCUUUAAAGUAAAGAAGGGAAAAUUGGCUUGAUACCUCAGAAUCAACAACAAUUACCUUUGCCUGAAAUAUCCAGAGGCUCGGAAUCGGAAAUCCAGAAACUCUAGUGCCAGCAUUGUCUGGUGAGAUGAGGCAUCUGAGCAAGGGGAGACACCUAAUGGCAUUUCUCAUUACCAACAAAGAAAAACAGAUGAACAUAUGCUUGCAAACCCACGCCAGCUGACUUACUGAGUAGAAGAUAAAUGUGUUCAUCAGUGAAAGAGAAGGGGACCAACAGAAAGACACAUGUAGCCAGGAGAUGAAUUCAAUGAUCACCUUUAUUCCAGGCACCAACAAGUGAGAUAAAGGCAAAGACCGAAUGGAAAAAUGUCAGAAAUGAAUACCAAUGAUAAGAAGGUAACUAUAAACCGAUUCCUUUGGCUACCUGCUUUAAUAUUCUCGAUUGCUCCGCUUUCUCGUAAUGAGGAAUUGGCUUCCCUGAUGACAACUGCGGGUGUUGAUAGGCUGGAUGGAGACAGAGAUCAUGGUGACAAAGGAGAGGCCGUGUUCCAGAACCAGGCAGGUUCUGGCAGGGAGCUGGAGCAGGCAAUGAGAAAAGUAGGCAUGCUGAAUUUCAUGGGAGGGGCUGAGACACCAAAAAAUAUAGUAAGUGGUCAGUGCCGAUGAAAUAUAACAUGAGAACUAUGUCUCCAGAACAAAGCAGUGGCUUAGUCAUGAGAGCAGAGUAUGAGGCUAGGGAGACAUUGAGUUCCUGGCUUGACUCCAUUUUUGUUCUCAUUGACCAUCUGGUCCCAGGGCUACAGAUGUGGCUUUCUCUGCGAAUGGAGCUUCCCCUCCUCAGCUAUGGUACCUAGCUUGGGAGAAAGCUCAUUAAACAGUGUGGUCACACCUCUGUAGUAUGAAAUUCAAGGACUUAUGCAGAAUUGGAAAGUCAUGGUCCUUAGAAUCAUGUUUUUCUAGAUUUUAUGGUGAGUAAUUUGGACCAAUGACCUUUUUUGAGCCAUUUUUCUCCUCACACUGUGGUGCCAUUCUGAGGAUCCUCUUUUCAUUUCUUUCCAUUUCAUUUUGGAUUAAAAUGAGAAUUAUCUUUAAAAAUGUUAUGAUGGGAGUUCCUGUUGCGAUGCAGCAGAAACGA